Molecule: non-coding RNA, 85 nt
Filed under: marine eukaryotic metagenome
Description: Glycine riboswitch
Rfam family: Glycine riboswitch aptamer
About the family: This family represents the bacterial glycine riboswitch. Glycine riboswitches usually consist of two metabolite-binding aptamers domains with similar structures in tandem.
Source: RNAcentral
GUUGCGGGAGAGCUCCGGGAAUCCCCGGACACCGAAGGGGCAAGCGGCCGUGCCGCCAAACUCUCAGGUAAAUGGACUGCGGCCG